This 484-nucleotide ribosomal RNA is filed under the name uncultured bacterium. RNAcentral describes it as "partial 16S ribosomal RNA". It matches the Rfam family "Bacterial small subunit ribosomal RNA", at positions 29 to 507 of the family's 1533-position model. The record is from RNAcentral.
AUUGAACGCUGGCGGCAUGCUUUACACAUGCAAGUCGAACGGCAGCGCGGGCUUCGGCCUGGCGGCGAGUGGCGAACGGGUGAGUAAUACAUCGGAACGUGCCCAGUAGUGGGGGAUAGCUCGGCGAAAGCCGGAUUAAUACCGCAUACGACCUGAGGGUGAAAGCGGGGGAUCUUCGGACCUCGCGCUAUUGGAGCGGCCGAUUGCAGAUUAGCUAGUUGGUGGGGUAAAGGCCUACCAAGGCGACGAUCUGUAGCUGGUCUGAGAGGACGACCAGCCACACUGGGACUGAGACACGGCCCAGACUCCUACGGGAGGCAGCAGUGGGGAAUUUUGGACAAUGGGCGAAAGCCUGAUCCAGCAAUGCCGCGUGUGUGAUGAAGGCCUUCGGGUUGUAAAGCACUUUUGGCGGGAACGAAAAGGACUGUGCCAAUACCACGGUUCGAUGACGGUACCCGCAGAAUAAGCACCGGCUAACUACGUG